Molecule: ribosomal RNA, 460 nt
Filed under: uncultured bacterium
Lineage: Bacteria
Description: partial 16S ribosomal RNA
Rfam family: Bacterial small subunit ribosomal RNA
Source: RNAcentral
CCUACGGGUGGCAGCAGUGAGGAAUAUUGGUCAAUGGACGAAAGUCUGAACCAGCCAAGUAGCGUGAAGGAUGACGGCCCUAUGGGUUGUAAACUUCUUUUAUAAGGGGAUAAAACGAGGCACGUGUGCCUUUUUGCAUGUACCUUAUGAAUAAGGAUCGGCUAACUCCGUGCCAGCAGCCGCGGUAAUACGGAGGAUUCGGGCGUUAUCCGGAUUUAUUGGGUUUAAAGGGAGCGUAGGCGGGUUGUUAAGUCAGCUGUGAAAGUCCGUGGCUCAACCGUAGAAUUGCAGUUGAUACUGGCAGGCUUGAGUACAGUUGAGGUAGGCGGAAUUCGUGGUGUAGCGGUGAAAUGCUUAGAUAUCACGAAGAACCCCGAUUGCGAAGGCAGCUUACUAAGCUGUGACUGACGUUGAUGCUCGAAAGCGUGGGUAUCAAACAGGAUUAGAUACCCCAGUAGUC